GCCACUCAGAUUACAGUACAAGAGGGUUCCCAUCUACCCGGCUGUCCUUCCAGCUUUGGGAACAAAACAAGCCAACAGGCACCAGAGAUAGGACCCAUCGCCACAGGCUGCUUAGACUGAACGUCCACACUGGAGCAGCUGUCCCAUCAGGUGCCACUGUGCAUCACCAUCGGGGACUGAUGCCCAGUACCCAGGAGAGGUGACCUGAGACAGUAAGGCCUCUGCUGAUUUGGAUCAAAGGCUGACCUAGCAUAUUGAGGGCAAAAGGCAGGUGUUUUUCCUGCAUCGGUGUCUGGGCACCAUGUGCAUACAGUGCCUGUAGAGGCAGAAGAGGGUAACCGGCCCCUGGAGCUGGAGUUACAGAAGUUGUGGGUGGUCAAUCAGUGCUGGAAACUAACCCAAGUCCUCCACAAGAGCAACCAUCUUAGCCUUGAAGCUGUUUCUCCAGCCCAUUCCUUUCCCACCCUGAGGAUAAAGAUACAAGACAGGGGCCAACAGCAUUGCUCAGUGAGUAGAGAUAUUUGCUGCCAACCUGGUUUGCUCCCAAGGAUGCACUUGGUGGAAGGAAAAGAACAGACUGCUAUGGGCUUUUCUUUGACCUCCACAGGGACAC
Molecule: long non-coding RNA, 613 nt
Organism: Arvicola amphibius (Eurasian water vole)
Lineage: Eukaryota; Metazoa; Chordata; Mammalia; Rodentia; Cricetidae
Exons: 3
Source: RefSeq, a predicted model, not a curated record